CGAGGGAGGCUGAUACCAGCUAGUGAUUCAAGAACACUAGAUUUCCCUGAAGAUUGAUCACCAACAACAACAAUGGUGGGGAGUUGUAUGCCUUCUUUCAUGACCUGGAGAUGCCUAAGCUUGUCAACCGCAUCAAGCAGAGGUCGAAUACGUUCAUUGAAUGAUGAUACGAUGGGGACAUGCCUGACUACCAGCUCUUGAUGCUUUUCUUCAAUGCUCUGUGGAAGUGAUUCCACUUGGUUUUCCGAGCUAUUCGACAUUUCUUCACUCACUGAACCCGAAUGAUUAAGCACUACACUCAUUUUGUUGACAGGGAGAAACUUCGAAUAAUUGCCUUGGUAUUUUUUAAUUUGUUAUGCUUCAAAUGAAGAGGGCUAAGUGAGCAUUUAAUGUGAGCCAGGUGGAUGUGAAAUAGUGUGGACUCGUUUGAAUCUUUCUUUUUGCAAAGACUAGAAUCGUUUGAAAAGCUUAACGAGGAAGGAGAUGAUCCGUACUAGGUUGGUUCCUUUCAAAUGAGUGGCCUUCCCAUCGAAUAUUUAAAAGAGGUUUACAACCUUGCGUCUUCUUUUCUGGUCCUCAAGCAUGGAUGACUCUCCUUCUCUUGGAAGUUGUCACCGAAAUAACUGUCCAAUCUACGAAAAAAGUUAUAUAUAUAUAUAUUCAUUCUUUAUGUCACGACCCGAAUCCCGGGUCCAUGACCGGCAACGCAGGAGCGGUGUCGAAAGGACACCUCACCUGCGCUAAGCCUCAGAACGGACAUAUCAAAAGAACAAUUUGUUCAAAAAUACGCAGCGGCUCAUAAUAUUCAGAAAUAUUAUAUUAUUCAAAUACUGAUUACAAAUUUAAAACAAAAAUAAUAAUUCAUAAUACUUAUUACAUUGUCAAAAUCCAAAUUUAAUUAAACCAAGGUAACAGUGGAGCGUUUAAGACAUCAAAUCAAACUUGAAAGGAAAACCUCGCGGACAAGCAAGGCAUACCGACCAGAACUGAAGAAGCAGAAACACUCAACAAAGUCCAACUGCUAUCAGAAACUAAGAACCUGAAAUAAUAUUAAAAAAUGAGAGGUGAGUUCAACCAACUCAGUGAGGGAAUAACAUUUAAUAUACAUUUUAGAUAUUUCAGAUAUUAAUAAGUUGUAAGAUGAUUUAUCUUAAUAUACAUAUACAUAUACAUAUACUUACUAAACAUAUUAUCAUAACGUAACAUAUUAUCAUAACGUAGUGGAUUACAUGUCAGAGAUCAGAUGACACCCGAAGGUGACCAGAUGACACCCGUCGGUGACCAGAUGACACCCGUCGGUGACCACUGUGGGAUGAUCAAUCACCACAGGCUGAUGCCUCUCUCACCAGCUAGGUAACAGAAUACUAUGUGCACACAGGCUAACUAUUCUCCGUUAGCAUGGAGUUACUGACAAGUCCCAUAUCAAGGCAUAAUAGAUAUUCACAGAAUCAUCAAAGAAACGUAUAUCAUAUCAAAUAGAAUUUACUUUAUCAGAUUGCGAGUGCAAAUUCAAUAAUAAAUUAGUACUCGGAAAAUAAAGGAACAUAUAUAAAUAUUCAAGAAAUUUACUAGUUGUACUCAUUGUAUAAUCAACAUACAUAUUUAUUUAUAUUAUAUGCAUAUUAAAGAUUAUUCCACUCACCCGGAAAAUACUGAACUAAAGGAAUGUCAGACAAAAGACCCGAAAAUCCAAUUAAGGAUCGUUAGGAGAACCUACAAUAAAUUAAUGAAAUAUACUCAAAAACAGAUCAAACAAAAGAUCCCAAAGCAUAAAAUAAACCGGGCUUAAUCUCCCAAGUUUAGGGACUAAAACGACAAUUUUCCAAAACAGGGACCAAAACGUAAUUUUACCAAAAUUUGAGGAACGAAUUGUAAAUAUAUAACCAUACUGAAAUUUAUCCAUAAUUCAUCCUUGUCUUUGUCCAGAAUCUUGAAUUAUGCCCCAAGGUCCAAAAUGUGAUUUUAUCAAAAUAUUAGGGGUCAAAUCGUAAUUUGUCAAAUUGGAGGACCAAACUGAAAAUAUCAAUUAUACUGGAAUUUUGCCUUUAAAUCAUCCUCAGUUCUGUUCAGAACCUCAAUUGAUGUCCCAGGGACCAAUCUGUAAUAUUUCCAAAGUUCAGGGACUAAACUGCAAUUUCCAUAAAUUGAGGGACCAAACUGAAUUUUCGUCAUCUUCAACCUCAAACCCAGAAUUUUAACAGAUCACCUACUGUUAUCCCUUGAUUUCUAUCACAAUUUCACCAUUUAAACAAAAUCAUAACUCAAAAUCAUUAUCCUUCAAUUCAAUCUCUCAAAAUCAACUAAUUAAUCAAAUACCCACAAUAAUCAACUCCUAACCUUCAAAUUAAUUCAUCAAUUAACUCAAAAUACAAACUUCAAAACUCUAAAAUUAAUAAAAACCGAAAUUUAACAUAUUAUACACUUCAAACCAUAAAUCUUACCUUUUUAAAACUUAUUUCCUCUACUUCUCUUCUCCUUCCCUUCCUUCUCUCCUUUCUUUUCUUCUUCUUCCUGUUUUACUUUCUCUCCCGUAGCUCUCUUUCUCUCAAAAUCAGAUCAUUCUUUUUUUUUUCUUCUUCUUAUUUAUAUUUAUCAACUAUUGUUCAAUUACCACACUAACCUUCAAUCAUUUAUACCCUCUUUUUAAGCCACCAAGGGCUUUAUUGUAUUUUCCAAUCUUUUUAAUACAAAACAUCACACUUUAUUGACUAGUUUAUAGUGUAAUUAAUAUUUUUUUUAUAAAAAAUAUUAUAAUUUAGAUAUUAUUAGUUAGGUGGCCCGUGGUACGUCGAGGAUCAACUUUUUAUUUUCAUAAAAAAUAUAAGACUAAAAGUGUUGAAUCUGACUACAAUACUGGACAAAAGAGCUUCAAGUCUAUUUAAUUUAUUUAUUCAAAUUCUUAUAUUUUUUAAAAUUUAUUAAUGAUAAUAAUAACAAUAAUAAUAAUUUUUAAUUUUAGCCUGCAAAUCAAAUCUAAAAUUGUUUUUUAAUAUUGAUAAUAAUUGUUUUUCAAAUUUAUUAAUGAUAAUAAUAACAAUAAUAAUAAUUUUUAAUUUUAGCCUGCAAAUCAAAUCUAAAGUUGUUUUUUAAUAUUGAUAAUAAUUGUUUUUCAAAUUUAUUAAUUAUUUUAUAAAUAAUAUUAAUUAUAAUAAAAAUAAUAAUAUUUAUAAUACAAAUAAUAAUAAUUUUUAUAUUAAUACUUUUUCAAUAUUGAUAAUAAUUUUUUGCAAAAACUAAAGAUCCACUUAAUUUCUUUUUCCAAAAACGAGAAUCGUUUGAAAAGCUAACGAGGAAGGAGAUGAUCCGUACUAGGUUGGUUUCUUUCAGAUGAGUGGCCUUCCCAUCGAAUAUUUAAAACAGGUUUACAACCUUGCGUCUUCUUUUCUGGUCCUUAAGCAUGGAUGGCUCUCCUUCUAUUGGAAGUUGUCACCGAAAUAACUUUGGUCCAACCUACGAAAAAGGUUAUAUAUAUAUAUAUAUAUAUAUAUAUAUAUAUAUAUAUAUAUAGUUUAACAUAAUCUUCAUUGACUAGUUUUUCAGUUUAAUUAAUAUAUUUUAUAAAAAAUAUUUUAAUUUAGAUAUUACUAGUUAGGUGACUCGUGCUACGUUGCGGAUCAAUUUUUUAUUUUUAUAAAAAAUAUAAAAAAAUAUAAGACUAAAAGUGUUAGGUCUGACUGCAACACUGGAUCAAAGAGCUUCGAGUUAUUUAACUUAUCUACUCAAUUUCUUAUAUUUUUUAAUCUUUUUUUUUAAGGUUUUUCUUUAAUAGUAAUACUAAUAUUUUUUAGAGAGUGUUUGGUAUUACAGUAGCUGUUGUGGUUGUGGUUUGAAAAAAAUUGUUUUAUAAAAAAUACUUUUAGUUGAGGUUGUUUUAAAAAAAUAGGUGUUUGGUUAAAACUGUGGUUGAAAUUAAGAUUGAAGAAAAAGUAAUUUAAUAUGUUUGGUUAAUAAUGCUUUUGAAAUUGAGGUUAUAUAUAUAUAUAUAUAUAUAUAUAUAUAUAUAUUGAUGGUUUUAAAUUUAAAUAUUGUAGAAUUAAUUACUCCUAUUACAUCAUAAAAUAAAUAAUACUUUAUAUACAAUAUUUUUUAUUAUUCCAUUAAACUAUUUAUAAUUCUAUUACGUACAAAAUUCAUCUGAUAAGAACUACAGUUUUCAUACUUUUUUGAGCUUGUAAUAAAAUUAGAUAAAAUAUUAUCAGGUACAAAAUUGAUAUUACAGUGCGAGUAAAUUUAAUUCACUCUAUAUUAGUUUUUCAAGAAAAAAAAUUGUUCACAUUACAGUGUGAGUGAAUUUAAUUCACUUUAAAAUAGUUUUUUUUAAAAAAAAAAACACUGUUAAAAAAUUAACAAAUUGAAAAAAAAAGUUCAUGUAAUUGCACUGUUCACUGAAUAAUGCAAUUAUAGUGUAAUAACUGUUAAAAAAUAACACACCAAAAAAAAAGUGUUCAUGUAAUUGCACUGUUCACUGAACAGUGCAAUGUACUGAUGUAUACUGAUCAUGCUAAUUGCAGUGUUUAGUGAACAAUGCACUUAGCAUGAAUAGUUUUUGAAAAGCAUGAAUUCUUUGCUUACUAAAAAUCGAGUUCCUGCCGCAAAUAAAUAAAGGGACCCAUGUUAUUUAUUUUUUAACAAUCCAUAACCAAACGGCUAAUUAGUGUGUUUUUUAAGAAACGCCAAUGCAAACGCGUAGACAAAUGGGUUCUUAAAAUUUAUUAAUGAUAACAACAACAACAACAACAAUAAUUCUUGAUUUUACCCUUCAAAUCAAAUCUAAGGUUGUUUUUCAAUAUUGAUAAUAAUUAUUUUUCAAAUUUAUUAAUUAUUUUAUACAUAAUAUUAAUUAUAAUAAAAAUAAUAAUAUUUAUAAUAUAAAUAAUAAUAAUUUGUAUAUUAAUACUUUUAUUAUAAUAAAAAUAACAAUAUUUAUAACACAAAUAAUAAUAUUUAGAAACCUAAGACCUAAGAACUAAGAACCUUGGGUCCUAAAGCAGGACCCAUUUUGAUUGGGUCCAGAGGUAGGACCCAAUCAUAAUGGGUCCAGACACAGGACCCAUCAUCCUUGGGUCUUCACAUAGAACCCAAAAUAAUUGAGUGCGGAGGCAAGACCCAAUCAAAAUGGAUCUUAACGCAGAACCUAAGAAAAUUGGGUUUAGAGGCAUGACCAAUUUCCUUUGAGUCUUGACACAGGACCAGAAUUAGAUCCGGACUCAGGACCCAUUAGUCUUGGGUUUGGACAUAGGACCUAAGAGAAUUGGAUCCGGACCAAAUGUUUUUAGGUCCCCAAUCUUAUUAGGUCCUAGUGUGCAGCUAGACCCAAAGCUAUUUUGAAUCCUGCCCCCACAGGACCCAACUCUAAUAGAUCUUACUAGGGGUAGGAUCCAAUAUAUGAUUUAUUUAUGUAUUUAAUAAUACAUAUAAUUCAAAACUAUUGAAUAAAACAUUGAUAAAACUUUGAAUCUCAUUUACUAAUGUUAUAAAAUUAAAAUAUCUUUUAUUACCCAAAAUAAUAUUAUAUUAUAAUAUUUCUAAAUUAUUUUUAAUGGAUUAUAUUGUUAAAAAUUCUCUUAUAUAAUACAAAUAUAUAAAAUAUAUGAUGUGAAUAUAAAAUUUAUUGAGAGCUCUAUCAACUUUAAUAUGAUAAUAUUAGAGAAAAAAAUAAAAUAAAAUUUAAAUUUUUAUAAAAAAAAUUACAUAAAAGAAAAUAAUUUUUUUUUUAAAGCAAUAGGUCUUGCUAGGGGAGGACCUAAAGGAGCCAAGGCUGACGGGUCUAGCCGCACCACGACCCAAACACGACUGGGGGCGUUGCCUUCUCUGUCAAAAGCUGUUGGUUUUGGCUUGGCAGCUAGACCCAAAACACUUCCAAAAGGUCUAAUAGUGUUGGGCUUGGCUAGCCAGCCAUAUCCACACCACUUCAAAAAGGUGCAAUCUUGGGUUUGGUAGUGCAGCCAUACAUAAGGAUAUUAGGUCUGAGAUUUUUUGUUUAUUUCUCUCAUUUAAAUUUAUUUUUCAUACAAUAAAGAGGAAAUAAAUUGAUUAGAGUUUUUUUAUAUUCUACAAAAAUUAGAUGAUGAUAAGUUUUUUUUUUGGUUUGAGGUUAGGUUGAAUUUUCUUAUUAAAAUAUGUUUGUUUUUGUUUUUCAAAAAUGCUUUGAAAAACAAUUAGACUAUUUUUUUUUCUUUAUUUCAAAUUAAUAUUUUUCCUUAAUUCAUAUUAAGAUGUUUUUGUAUUAUUUUGAUUUGAUUAUAUAAAAAAUAGAUUUAAAAAAAUAAAAAAAUAUUAUCUCAAUAUAUAUUUUUUAAAAAAUAUUUUAAGAUAUUUCCAAUUUUCUUUUUUUCUCUCUUCAAUUUUUUUUUCUUUUCUCUUGUUGACUUUUUUUUUUUCAUAUUCUAAAGAGAAAAUAAAUUAAUGUGACUUUUUUUUUAUAUAUUAUACAAAAGUUGGGUGAUGAUAUUUUUUUUUUCAUUUUAUGUUGGGUUGAAUUUCCUUAUUAAAGCAUGUUUGUUUUUGUGUUUCAAAAAUACUUUUUAAAAAAAUUGAUUUUUUUUUAUUGUUUUCCUUACUUUAAAUUCAUAUUUUGUAUUGUUUUAUAUAAAUAUAUAUUGAGAUUGGGUCUGGUUGUGCAACCAGACCCGAUGAGAAUAUAUUAAGUUAGGUCCUACCCAAUAGGACCCAUUUGAGUUGGGUCUUGCCCCAGAUGUACCCAAAAUAGCAAUGGGUCUAGUCACGGUUCCAAGGUGAAAUGGGACUUGACGCAGGACCUAAGUAAAAUGGGUUCUGAUGCAGGACUCAAGCCAAGUGACUCAUGACGUAGGAUCCAAGAGACUUGAGUUCUAGUGAGGACCCAAAUGAAAUGGGUCCUGAUGCAGGACCCAAGAGCAUUGGGUCCUGACACCGGACUCAACAGAAUAGGGUCGGAUGCAUGACACAAUACCAAUUGGUUCUGUGUCUGGAGUACCUAAGAGAAUUAUAAUAAAAAUAAUAAUAUUUAUAACACAAAUAAUUAUAUUUUUUUAUAUGAAUACUUUGAGUUAUAAUAAUAAUAUUUUUAACAAAAAUUAUAAUAUUUUUUAUAUGAAUACUUUGAGUUAUAAUAAAAGUAAUAAUAUUUAUAACACAAAUAAUAAUAUUUUUGAUAUGCAAGACCCAAGGCCAAUUGGUUCUGUGUGUGGAGCACCUAAAAUAAUUAUAAUAAAAAUAAUAAUAUUUAUAGCAUAAAUAAUAACAUUUUUUAUAUUAAUACCUUGAAUUAUAAUAAAAAAUAAUAAUUUUUUAAACACAAAUUAUAAUAUUUUUGAUAUGAAUACUUUGAGUUAUAAUAAAAAUUAUAAUAUUUAUAACACAAAUAAUUAUAUAUUUUGAGAUGAAUACUUUGAAUUAUAAGAAAAAUAAUAAUAUUUAUAAUAUAAUAAUUAUAUUAAUAAACCCAAGACCCAAGAACCUUGGGUCCUGACAAAGGACCUAAGAGACUUGGUUCUGGAUGCAAAACCCAAGCAAAAUGGAUUUUAACCAGGACCCAUGAGUAAUGGGUCUUGACGCUGGACCCAACAACAUUGGAUCCUGAUGCAGGACCCAAGGCUAAGGUGUCUCUAGCAGGUCUUUAGACUCGUUUGCCUGUGUCUGCAGCCAUGGGUGUGAGUUUGGCCCUAGCACCUAGUGCAGCCCCAACACCUAGUGCAGCCCCAACACCAUGUGUCUUUAGACCCGCUCGUUUGCGUCUGCAACCAUGCAUGUGGGUCUGGCCCUAGCGCCCAUGGUAGCCCUAGCGCCCAUGGUAGCCCCAGCACCAUGUGUCUGUAGAUUGUGGCCUGCAGCCCCACUUGGCGCAUGGGCACCUAUAGCUUGCCUGCCCCAAUGCCAGAUGUCUGCAGUCCGGGGCUUGCAACCUUACCAAAACUAAGCUGAUCAUUUUCUCCCCAACCAUCGCUUCAUUGCCAUGUACAUCCUAGUGAAAAGACAACCCCACCAUCCCACUGCAGUCUUUCCAACUCUCUGUGCUAAGGACAGCUCUGCCGUUACAUUGCUCCAAUCCAUAGUGCUUUGUGUCUAUGUAAAUAGUAAUAGGGGCAUUGAUCCCUUUUAGUAUAUUGUAUAAUUUAUUAUGUUUGCUCUGUCAAAUCAUAUUUGUUCCUAAUACCAUAGUCAUUGAUUCUUUGAAUAAAAUUUUGAAACUCUUUUCAAAUCUCAUUUCACCUUGCAUAAUAAUUUCACAAUCAAUACUAUUUGAGAACAAAUAAAAUAUUUUUUUUCUUAUUUAACUAAGGUGAUGGGUCCUCUUUUAAUCACUAAACACCUAUAUAUAAUUCAUGUUAUAUUCAAUAUCUUCCCAUUUGUUACCCUUUAUUUAGAAGACAUGCAGUCAGGAUCAAAGUAUAGUAUUUUCUAUAUAAGAUAGCUAAGUGAUCUCAAGUCUAAAAAUGAUUUACAGAAUUCUCACGUGAGCCUUUCAAUAGACACAAGUGAUUUCUUUAUAUGAAAUUCUCAUGUGGGACAAUUUAGUGUAAGUGUUAUCAAACAAGCAUCUACAUAUUAUUUUCAGGUAUCCCUUAUACCAUAACUUAUAAAUAACUGCUCUUUUUCAUAAAGAAAAGAACAUAAUAUGUAUUAAUCUUAAUGACUCUAAUUAAUAUCUAAUUUUAAUAGAGCAUCAACCAUGAAUAUUUAGGUAGUGUUUGGUUGUUAUUGUUUUAGGAUUAAGGCAACAAUAACAUCAAGGGGAGUGAAUUAAGUGUUGCACUAAUUAUGUUAAAUAAUGCAAAUAAGCACAUUAAGCACAUAUAACGCAAUAACUAAUAAUAUAAUUGAAGUGCUUGAAGUAAAGAGAUAAGGAAAUAGAUAUUGUAAACUCGGUUUUUAACAUGGUUCGACUAGCCUAUAUCCAUACAUCAAGUACCAACCAUACUUGGGUAUUGUACUCUUUUACUAAUCCAAGUGAAAGAUACGAUACCAUUGAUGAAUCCAUACCAAGCAAUUACAUCACUUGAAGAUGUUCCCUCUUCAAGAUUUUUCUCUUGGUGACAAUACCUCACUAAUGCCAAGAGUUUAUUCAAACUCUCAAUGCAUGAUUAAAUAUGAUUUUGUAGCCUUUAUCAUAUAAUUGACUAAUACUUUGGAAAUUAUGUUUUAGAUUUUCACAAGAAACACCUUUUCUAUUGAGGGAGAAGAUUUACCUCUAAUAGUGUUAACUCCAAUGACCUUUCCUUUUAAGUUGUCUCCAGAUGUGACUUGAAAACAUUGAUCUUGCUUAUGCUUGAAAACAAUGAAUCAUCUUUGGUUAUAUGUCUUCAGCAAGCACUAUUCAAGGACUAUAAAUGCAAUGUGCUCCUCCACUUCAUCAUCAUUAUCAUCAUCAACAUGGCAUAUGAUUUUGAAUGCCAAAUUUUUACUUGGCUUCUCUUCUAGUCCUUGCUUUUCUAUGGUUAUUUUAUGAGUUAUUAGUGAACCAAUGAGCUUUUCCAAUGGAAGUUUGGUGAGAUCUUGAACUUCUCAAAUUGCCAUCACCUUUUCUUCCUAAGACUUUGGCAAGGACCUAAGAACUUUGCUCAUAAUAUCAACAUUAGUUUAAGUCCUACCAAGAGCAUCUAAACUAUUAGUGAUAGUUGUCAUUAUGGUAAAUCUACUAGUUAUAGAUUCAUUUGGAAGCAUUUUGAAUAACUCAUAUUAAUGUACAAGCAUAUCAAUUUUGAAUUCUUUAACUUGAUUAAUACUUUUAUGAGUUACUUCUAAAGCAUGUCAUAUAUCCCUAGCAUUUUUACAAGAUUAUAUUCUAUUAAACUCACUUCUACUUAAAGCAUAUUACAAGGUGUUCAUAGCUUUAACAUCCAUAGAAAACAACUUCUUAUCACUGUUGGUAGACUCACUUCUAGGUUUAUAAAUUUCCAUAUCAUUUUUAAUUUUAGUAGGCUUGUGAGGUUCAUUUUCAAUAGAUAGCUAUAAAUCAUAAUCAAUAGAUUUAAGAUAUAUAAUCAUCCCAAUAGACAUAAUCAUUGCUAUCAAAGAAGGGUGGCCUAGAGGUAGAUGCUCCAUUUUGAACAUUAUAGCUAGUGGUUGCUAUUCUAUUCAAGUCUAAGCAAACUUAUAUAUAUAUAUAUAUAUAUAUAUAUAUAUAUAUAUAUAUAUAUAUAUAUUAGAACUAAGUUUUGAUACCAAUUGUUGUUCUAGGAUUAAGGCAACAAUAACAGUUAAGAGGGUUGAAUUAGGUGUUGCACUAAUUAUAUCAAAUAAUGUAAAUAAACACAUUGAGCACAUAUAACAUAAUAACCAACAAUAUAAUUAAAGUGCUUAAAGUAAAGAGAUAAGAAAAGAGAUUGCAAACUCGGUUUUUAACAUGGUUCAACAAGCCUACAUCCACACCCCAAGAAUCAACCAUACUUAGGUAUUGUACUAUUUUACCAAUCCAAGUGAAAGAUACAAUGAUCUUAAUAAAUCCACACUAAGCAAUUACACCACUUGAAGAUGUUCCCUCUUUAAGAUUUUUCUCUUGGUGACAAUACCUUACUAAUGCCAAGAGUUUAUCCAAACUCAUAAGUGUUUAUAAUUAUGAUUUUUUUACAACAAGAUUAACUCUUUCAAAGAGUAGAUUAUACAAUUGAAAUCUAAAAUCUUUAUAACUCACUCAAUAAUACUUAGAAUGAUUGAAAGUGUGUAAGGGUAAUGAGUGUGAGAUUUUAUACUCCUGUGCUAGAAGAUAAAUAUUUAAUAAAGCAUAACUUGUAGUAUGUUACGAUUGAUGAUUUCUAGUUGAUUUUUAUUUUGGAAUAGCUUUUAUAUCAUGUAAGUUCAAAAUCUCUCUUUAAUUUUGCAUAAAAGAGAGCUAUAUAUACAUUUCUAAAAAAAACUAGUUAUUUAUAGCUAUUGGAAUGCCUCUGAUGACUAAAGUUGUCGAUUGGCACCAUAUCAUUUGAUUGACCAAUUCCUACAAAAUUCUCAGGUAUUCAUCAUGGAAAGCGGUCGAUUAAUUCAAUUUAAAACCUAUUUUUGAAAUUUUAAACUUGAAUUGAUUAAAUGUAUGUCAAUCUUAUUUAUGCAAGUAAUGGAAAAUGUGUGAGUCCAUUUUAGUUUGUUAUUGAGUAAGAUAUAAAGAUUUAACAAUAAGCAUUAAAAUGAAUCCUUAAGAAAUAAGUUCACUUUCUUUGCAUCUUGGACUUGUUGAUGGAUUUCUUAAUUCAAUUACUUAUACUUGUUGAUGUGAUAUUCAUAUAGACAUGUUUGAACUUAAUCUCAUUCAAGCAUAUCAUUAGUCCAUUUUCAAUGAAUUGUUAUAAUCAAAAUACAUAAAAUAUUAACAUUGUCCCCAAUGGAAUUGUCAUUUCGUCGCACAUAGAGGCACGAUGAUGAUGGGUUGUGAGAUUCCCCAUAUAGUUGUUUGGUUUAGAGUCGUUAGAAAACCCAAAAUCUUCGAUCCACACCGGAAUCAGAAUUAUUAAAACCACACAGAACGACCGCAACUUAUUGAAUGGAAAUAAUAUGGCUGAUUCCUUUGAGAAGUAGCAACUUGUUGGUGCUAAAGAAGAAGAGAAUGACGAGCGCCUCCUAAGAUUGAUUGUCUGGCUUAUUGGAAGCCGAACUAUCUGUAAAAAAAAAUAGAAGGGACAAGUAUGGUUUUUAUAGCCGCUUACUCUGAUGAGAGGACUCUUGCUUGAUUACAAAGGAUACACAUGGUAACGCCAAAAGAAAGAGAAACAACAAAUUUCCUAUAAUGUUAAAAUGGCAAACAAUAUUUCCUAACUUUUACUCAUGAUUUGUUGCUUCUAGCAUAUUCCUAUUGUAUUAGUCUUUGCUCUCAAUUGGUUAACAACACAAGGAAUUAUAUAGGAAAGAACAUUUGAACGGGAAUGAAGAAAAUAAUUCAUCAACCAAUAUGAGUGCACACAUAUCAAGAGAAGGAAGAGAAAAGGAAUCAAAAUCUCUUGAGAUUGGUCCAUAAAUUUUUAAUUUUGACUAUCAUAUUUUAUUUCACAAUAAGAUUUAUUUAUUUAUUAUGAAAAUAUAAUAUGAUCAAAUAAAUUUUAGUCGGAAAUAUAAAACCAUCUCAACUAUAUUUUUUGAGACAUGCCCACUUGUUUCGAAAGUAAGUGAACUUAUCUCAAGAGAGCAUCUGUAGAAACACAAAUUUUCUACCAAUCAAAUUUCAUCAUGUGUUAUUUUAUUUUUUAAAAAAGAAAGAAUAAAAUAAAAUUAAAAUAUAUGACAUGAAAAAUAAAUGAGCUUUCAUAUAUUUUUUGGCUAAUGAAAAGUUGACACUUGGGAUAAAAUAUUCAAGAUAUCUUGUCAUAAAUGCAAGAUCCUGUCAAUAAAUAUUAACCAAUAAAAUUAUGCCAUGUGGCAUUGGAAAAGGACAUGAGAGCUCCUACAGAUCUCUAUAAAUAGAAGCCUCAACCUAGAGAGAGAACAAAAAACAAAAAGAGGAUUCUAAGAGCUACAAAUUUCCUUUAAGACAAGCUCUUCAAGCAAGGAAGCUCUUUCAAAAGUUCUCAAGCCUCCUUCAUCUACGCUUGAAAUCUAUAAAAAAUGAAGCUCUGUUGGAUUAAGCUUAAACUCCCUAUAAGAGUUUUUUAAUAACACUUUGAAGACAAAUCAAAAGUACUCUUUAAAGCAUCAAAUCAUUAAAUCUCGCUUCGCAAUACAUGCUCAAAUUUGUGUUCUUACGAAGCAUAAAUCUUAGCUUGAUUUCUCAAAUAAAUCAAGUCACCAUACAUCAAAUCCAAGGAAAGAAUCAAAUGAUUGUUUUAUUCUUUUGAAAAAAAUACUUAUAUAGAGAUUGUACCCGGUCAUAUAUUUAAUAAAAUCAUAUAUUUGUAUACGUGUGCUUGUUUAAUUUAAUGUGAUUAAAAUUGUGUCUACAUAAUUAUUUUAUUUAAAUGAUGUGAAAUUAUAAAUAAAUUAAUAAAUUUACAAGAGAAAAAUUAUAUUUUGUGAAUGUUUAUAUAUUGGGAGCUUGCAUAUGUUACAAAAGAAAAAAUAAAUGUUUUAAAGUCUAGGUAAAGUUGUUAUGUGAACUUGGCAAGAAUAUGAACUUUGAGUUAAAUACUAGUAAUGUUAAAUAACAAAUUAUUUUGUUUCAGUUUAAUUGUUUUAAAAAAUAUAUUGACACAUAAUUAAAUAAAGAUGUUAUAUAACAUAUUAUGUUGCGAGAUUAUAUUUUUUUUUCCACGCUUUAAAAGUAAUUGAAUUGAUUUUUGAUCCGGUAAGGAGGGUAGCACGGACACUGGAACUAGUGAAAGAAAGCUGCAGGGAAUUUAUCAAACCAGAAUCAUAAAUAGCGAACAUCUUCAUACUACUAUUAGAACAAACACAAGGAAAACAAGAUAGAUUGACACAAACUCCUUCGUGCCAUCAAUCUUAGAAACAGGAAAGGAAAAGCCAGACGAGCAUAGAUAGGUAUAGAUAAAUAGAUAGAUCGACAGUACUCAAACUAGACAUUUGAAGCAAUUUUGUCCAUGAUGUGUGCCAGGACAUUGUUGGACUCCCUCAGCAACUUGAUGCUCACAUUCAGCUUCUCACGCUUAGCAGCUACCGCUGGAGAUUCCUCUAACAUUCUUUCUAUCGCACCAUCAUGUCUACCGACAAGCUCCUGGAAGAUCUCCUCUUCCAUUUCCUUGUUCACAAGAUUUCGAAGACAGAACUGCAAAUGCAGAGCCAUAAAAUCAACCAACCUCCUCAAAACAAUUUUCCAGUAAGCAGUCAUUCUCAUUUUCAAGUCGAAAGCUUGAAGCAAUACAUGCUCCUCAUACCCCCUGAGACCUGCAAUUGGAACCUCUCCCAAACCUUCGAUCUUGAAUGUAGCAACGUCCCCAUCUUCCAGGACAUCACGCGUGAAAUCAUGCUGUUGAGACAUGAGUUUGUUCCAGUCAUUCAUGUAUUCAGGAUUGCAUGUAUAAUCUGUCAGUUUCUCCAUUUGAACAAUCUCUGUGACCCAAUUUCUAGAAUGCUCUUUCAUUCUUGCUAUGAGACUAUGGCCUGCUCGUCGAGUGGAGAGCUGAAGCUGGUGGUAGUUUUCCGAGUGAUGAAUCAAAACAGAUAUGACCACACCUUCAAUGUAAGUCCAUACUUUCUCAACAAAGGCAACCGGUAUGUGCGAUACCUUUGCAACCUUUUUCUGCAGAAUAGAAAGGAAGGUGGUGCGGGGAAGGAAAUUUGGCAAUUCAAUCCCUUUGGCUUCCCCCAAAACCUGAAUCUCGUCCAUCAGAAAGUUCCCUGCAAGGUCAUUUUCAGAGCAAUUAUGAAGUUCACCUGAGUAUUGGUUGAGCAUUUCAACCAAUCUGGCAGUGCAAUGCAUAUUUUUAUCUUCUAGAUACUCAUCAUACUCUCCUCUCACAAUGAUCUUGUUUAGCGACUCUUUGGCGGAUCCAACAAUGCCCAUGAAAGUUGUGAGGGCUUCACCAACCGAGGACAAAGUCUUAGGCAUCCUGUUCAGUUCCGAGAUACUUGCAUUCAGCUUUUCGUUAAUCUUCCUCACUAUCUCUGGCAAGCAUCUUGCUAUAAUAGUUGCUUGAAUUUGAACCAGUUUUUGAGCCAGAACUGGGAUGCCCACCAUGGAUUUAUCAAUCUUGGAUAGAAGAGGAUGAGUUUCAAACAAGUCAGCUUCUUCCUUGCGUGCUUCCUUGUAAGAUUCAUCACCAAUACGAUUUCUCACACAGACAUAACCCAGACCUAUAUUCACAUCAUCAGCCGUAACCUUCUCAAGCAGUCCUUCUGGAGCUCUGUCUGCUUUGGUGACCACGGCGAGAGUCCUCUCACCAUUCUUAUCCACUUUCUGUGACAUCCUAAUAGAUUCACAAGUGGUAAAAUCAACAGUUGCAGACAAAACAUUAAGUAUAAUACUCUCUUCAGGCCUUAUGUACUCCAUAAUGAUAUCCGCUAUCUGCUCAUAGAUGUUUUCAGGCUGACCGUGGACAGGAACUCUAGUGAUUCCAGGGAGAUCAACCAUUGUAAGGUCCGGAACGCCAUUCUUUUUCACUACCAAAGUCAAUGGCGUGUUCGAUAUGCCCUUAGCACUGCCUGCAAUCUCAUCAGUGGCAAGACUUAUGGCAUUGGCGAUUUUGGCUUCACUGGUAGGUACUGUUUUGCCAUUGAACUCCAAGGAAAGCUCUGGUUCUGGAGCUGUGUGAUGUUGCAACCUCAUUAUGAGAGGUACUCUGGUGCAGAUGCCCUGGCCACGAGGGAGGCUGAUACCAGCUAGUGAUUCAAGAACACUAGAUUUCCCUGAAGAUUGAUCACCAACAACAACAAUGGUGGGGAGUUGUAUGCCUUCUUUCAUGACCUGGAGAUGCCUCAGCUUGUCAACGGCAUCAAGUAGAGGUCGAAUACGUUCAUUGAAUGAUGAUACGAUGGGGACAUGGCUGACUACCAGCUCUUGAUGCUUUUCUUCAAUGCUCUGUGGAAGUGAUUCCACUUGGUUUUCCGAGCUAUUCGACAUUUCUUCACUCACUG
Molecule: long non-coding RNA, 15429 nt
Filed under: Populus tremula
Lineage: Eukaryota; Viridiplantae; Streptophyta; Magnoliopsida; Malpighiales; Salicaceae
Description: long non-coding RNA (PTRE_LNC003131)
Source: RNAcentral